GGAGAGGUGCCGGAGCGGUCGAACGGGGCGGUCUCGAAAACCGUUGAGGGUGCAAGCCCUCCGUGGGUUCGAAUCCCACCCUCUCCGCCA
This 90-nucleotide transfer RNA is filed under the name Paracoccaceae bacterium. RNAcentral's name for it is "tRNA-Ser". It matches the Rfam family "tRNA". From Rfam's summary of the family: Transfer RNA (tRNA) molecules are approximately 80 nucleotides in length. Their secondary structure includes four short double-helical elements and three loops (D, anti-codon, and T loops). Lineage: Bacteria; Pseudomonadati; Pseudomonadota; Alphaproteobacteria; Rhodobacterales; Paracoccaceae. The record is from RNAcentral. RNAcentral also lists the same sequence under 2 other names.